UUCUUUGUUAAUUGUCAGCUGCUUUUUAUCAAAUUCCAGGCCAUUAUCCAGUAAACACUAAAAAAAAAAAAUGUUUGAACAGUUGCGUUUCAAACAUUUUCACUUUGUGGAGUGGUGCUUACCAAGUGGUACAGCUCUUAAGCAAGUGAACA
Oryctolagus cuniculus (rabbit) is the source of this 152-nucleotide non-coding RNA. Lineage: Eukaryota; Metazoa; Chordata; Mammalia; Lagomorpha; Leporidae. The record is from Rfam.